GGAUAUGAGGGCGAUCUGACUGUGACAUCUGUCACCGCAUUGAUCGCCAGGGUUGAUUCGGCUGAUCUGGCUGCCUUCCUCCCUCACUGCUCCAUGUGCGUCCCUCCGGAAGCUGCGCGGUCGGUCGAAGAGGACCACCAUCCCCGCUAGAAGAGGACCAGUCUUCGGUCAAGGGUAUAUGAGUAGCUGCACUCCCCUGCUAGAACCUCCAAACAAGCUCCCAAAGUGCUAGAGUUAGAUAUGUGAGACACUGUGCCCCUCCUCUUUUAUUUUUUAUUUUUUAUUUUUAUUUUUGAGA
Chlorocebus sabaeus (green monkey) is the source of this 298-nucleotide non-coding RNA. It matches the Rfam family "7SK RNA". From Rfam's summary of the family: 7SK was discovered as an abundant small nuclear RNA in the mid-70s but a possible function has only recently been suggested. Two independent studies have found that 7SK RNA binds the CDK9/cyclin T complex (known as elongation factor P-TEFb). The record is from Rfam. NCBI's taxonomy places the organism in Eukaryota, Metazoa, Chordata, Mammalia, Primates, Cercopithecidae.